Gasterosteus aculeatus (three-spined stickleback) is the source of this 1324-nucleotide long non-coding RNA. Lineage: Eukaryota; Metazoa; Chordata; Actinopteri; Perciformes; Gasterosteidae. The record is from Ensembl.
UGAGCGCAACGACGCUGCUGCUGCUGCUGCUGCUGGGUUUUUUCCCCCCCCUGUGUUGUUGCGCCAGCGCAGUUUCCCCGCGACAAACACGCGAGGUCCACCGCGGCUCCUCGAAGCCGGACGACGUCUUGGAAUCUACACGCGCGCGCCUGACUUCUCCGACAACGUUUUUUUUCUCAAAUUUUAUUUGAAUUAAUAUUAGUAUUAUUUGUUGUCUGUUCCUGCGGGACUCCUCUAUAAGUAGGUCGCCUACAAAACGGCCUCUCCCCCCCCCCCCCCUCCCCGCAAGUGCGCAGUCCGGGUUCCUUCCUCCCAGAGCUCCAUCGUGGAUUUACUUGGUUUUAUUCUGGGACGAAUUGCACGCGCAACCCGCGCUGAACUAAGACCACGAGAAGAGAACCACACUAGUAGUGAUAAGGGAAUACCGCGAAGGGAUACGCUCCUACUUGGAUUAACCGGCGGUGAACGUUAUGCACCAGACUUCGUAGUCUCCGUCUGGACGUUGUCCCUUUUCCGUGGUGGAUGGAGUUUUUGCAGCUGCUUGGUUGAUGGAUUCGACGUUAUGGAUGGUUGCACAUAGGUUUUGGGCGGGUGAGACGGCUCACCUGGACCUCCUGGACACCAGGGAGAAAAGACGAACUGUCCGGCUCUCCAUCUGCUCACCACUCCUCGCCUUCUGGAAUGCUCUUCUGGUCCCGUUGAGCUCUUGGACCCGUCCUCCCCCGACUGAUGAUCAGCCAGAUAACGUUAGGCCUCCCGACCAAUUGGACGCCAGGAUCCGCACCUCAUUCCACAGGUGAGCCUUCCAACAGACGAGCCGCUAUGAGGAGCGUUGCUUUCAUUGAGGGCCAACAAAAAGGGAGCGCCCAGACGCCAUCCAGCGCUAAAACGGGGCCACCUGUGCUUUGUGGUGUUUUCUUCAGGCAGUGCUCGGCGAGCACGUGGAGCCGGCGGUCAUUUUUUUGGUGACGUUGUUGAUGCUUCUUUGUGCUUGUGACUGAAGGGGGAAACGUCGGCUUUAAUUGUCACCUUUUUUAAAUAUCUUUUGCAAAAGGCGCGCUGCACUGUCCUCGCAUUUGGAAGCGUCUUACUUUAAGGUUGCUCCGACGGGAGCACUUUGUUAGUUAGUGAGCGUUAUUCCCUCUGCUGUGCUCGUCUGAACUGAACUUUCCCUUCUGGUCUCAACCAGCGUGGUGCCUCCUGUCCGUCUGCCACCUGACCUCCAUAAAAACACUUCCUUAAAAAAAUCAUGUGACGUAAUGAUGUUUGCUAAUAUUAUUUAACUGUCAGUUUGACAAAACACUAAAUAUCGGAUCCCCCCCCC